UGAAUACGAGAUGCUACGGCGUCGAAGCAGUCUAUGUCAUACUUCCAAGAAAAGCUCGCACUGUCAUAAACAAAUAAUGCCUGUACCAUAACCGACACAGGUGGGUAGGUAGAGUAUACUAAGGGGCGCGAGAUAACUCUCUCUAAGGAACUCGGCAAAAUGACUCCGUAACUUCGGGAGAAGGAGUGCCUUAUUUAUAAGGUUGCAAUAACAAGAUCCAAGCAACUGUUUAUCAAAAACACAGGUCUCCGCUAAGUCGUAAGACGAUGUAUGGGGGCUGACGCCUGCCCAGUGCCAGAAGGUUAAAGAAGUUGGUUAGCAUUCGCGAAGCUGAUAACUGAAGCCCUGGUGAACGGCGGCCGUAACAAUAACGGUCCUAAGGUAGCGAAAUUCCUUGUCGGGUAAGUUCCGACCCGCACGAAAGGCGUAAUGAUUUGGAUACUGUCUCGGAGAGGGGCUCGGUGAAAUAGACUUGUCUGUGAAGAUGCGGACUACCUGCACCAGGACAGAAAGACCCUAUGAAGCUUUACUGUAACUUGAGAUUGAAAUUGGACUUUACUUGCGCAGUAUAGGUGGGAGGCGUUGAUAAUAUUCUUGCGGGAUUAUUUGAGCCAUCAGUGAGAUACCACUCUUGUAAUGUUAGAUUUCUAACUUUGUAUCAUUAUCUGGUCAAAGGACAGUUUCAGGCGGGCAGUUUGACUGGGGCGGUCGCCUCCUAAACGGUAACGGAGGCGCACAAAGGUUUCCUCUGAACGGGUAGAAAUCGUAUCUAGAGUGUAAAGGCAUAAGGAAGCUUGACUGUGAGACCUACAAGUCGAGCAGGGACGAAAGUCGGUCUUAGUGAUCUGACGGUGCUGAGUGGAAAGGCCGUCACUCAACGGAUAAAAGUUACUCUAGGAUAACAGGCUGAUCUCCCCCAAGAGUUCACAUCGACGGGGAGGUUUGGCACCUCGAUGUCGGCUCAUCGCAUCCUGGGGCGGUAGUACGUCCCAAGGGUUGGGCUGUUCGCCCAUGAAAGCGGUACGCGAGCUGGGUUCAGAACGUCGUGAGACAGUUCGGUCCAUAUCCGGUGUAGGCGUUAGAAUAUUGAGAGGAGCCUUCUUUAGUACGAGAGGACCGAGAAGGACAUACCUCUGGUGUACCAGUUAUCGUGCCAACGGUAAACGCUGGGUAGCUAUGUAUGGAGUGGAUAACCGCUGAAAGCAUCUAAGUGGGAAGCCCACCUCAAGAUAAGUGUUCUCAUC
This 1244-nucleotide ribosomal RNA is filed under the name metagenome. RNAcentral's name for it is "bacterial LSU rRNA". It matches the Rfam family "Bacterial large subunit ribosomal RNA", at positions 1564 to 2818 of the family's 2925-position model. The record is from RNAcentral.